This 464-nucleotide ribosomal RNA is filed under the name uncultured bacterium. RNAcentral's name for it is "partial 16S ribosomal RNA". It matches the Rfam family "Bacterial small subunit ribosomal RNA", at positions 29 to 507 of the family's 1533-position model. The record is from RNAcentral.
ACGAACGCUGGCGGCGUGCUUAACACAUGCAAGUCGAACGGAAAGGCCCCUUUGGGGGUACUCGAGUGGCGAACGGGUGAGUAACACGUGAGUAACCUGCCCUUGACUUCGGGAUAACUUCAGGCAACUGGGGCUAAUACCGGAUAGGAAUCCUUGCUGCAUGGUGGGGGUUGGAAAGCUUCGGCGGUUUUGGAUGGACUCGCGGCUUAUCAGCUUGUUGGUGGGGUAGUGGCUUACCAAGGCUUUGACGGGUAGCCGGCCUGAGAGGGCGACCGGCCACAUUGGGACUGAGAUACGGCCCAGACUCCUACGGGAGGCAGCAGUGGGGAAUAUUGCACAAUGGGCGGAAGCCUGAUGCAGCAACGCCGCGUGCGGGAUGACGGCCUUCGGGUUGUAAACCGCUUUCAGCAGGGGCGAAGCUUGUGGUGACGGUACCUGCAGAAGAAGCACCGGCUAACUACGUG